AAAUGCUUCGAGCCAGCGCUUCUAAGGGCUAUUUGCCUAUGAACCGCUGGCCAGGGUCAUGCUGGAAACGGAAUGGCCUUCCGUGUUUGAAAAGAAG
Molecule: non-coding RNA, 97 nt
Filed under: Candidatus Enterenecus faecium
Lineage: Bacteria; Bacillati; Bacillota; Clostridia; Eubacteriales
Description: Moco (molybdenum cofactor) riboswitch
Rfam family: Molybdenum/Tungsten riboswitch aptamer (Moco RNA motif)
Source: RNAcentral